CAAAAAAAAAAUAUGAGGGUGUGGUUUGCUGGCACAGCGUCCGCCCCAAGUAUUUUUCACCCAUGUCUUUUGCGCACUUUUUGUUUCCUGGGCGAGUUCGCUCGCCACCAGGACCCAACCAUAAACCUUUUUUUAUGCAGUUGCAAUCAGCGUCAGUAUAAUAAUUCAAUUUAUUAAAACUUUCAACAACGGAUCUCUUGGUUCUGGCAUCGAUGAAGAACGCAGCGAAAUGCGAUACGUAGUGUGAAUUGCAGAAUUCAGUGAAUCAUCGAAUCUUUGAACGCACAUUGCGCCCUUUGGUAUUCCAAAGGGCAUGCCUGUUCGAGCGUCAUUUGUACCCUCAAGCUUUGCUUGGUGUUGGGCGUCUUUUUGUCUCUCCCCUUGUUGGGGGAGACUCGCCUUAAAACGAUUGGCAGCCGACCUACUGGUUUUCGGAGCGCAGCACAAAUUUGCGCCUUCCAAUCCACGGGGCGGCAUCCAGCAAGCCUUUGUUUUCUAUAACAAAUCCACAUUUUGACCUCGGAUCAGGUAGGGAUACCCGCUGAACUUAAGCAUAUCAAUAAGCGGAGGAA
RNAcentral lists this ribosomal RNA (572 nucleotides) under Exserohilum rostratum. Its description in RNAcentral is "eukaryotic LSU rRNA". The stretch from base 178 to 331 matches the Rfam family "5.8S ribosomal RNA". Lineage: Eukaryota; Fungi; Ascomycota; Dothideomycetes; Pleosporales; Pleosporaceae. The record is from RNAcentral.